This 233-nucleotide ribosomal RNA is filed under the name uncultured bacterium. Its description in RNAcentral is "partial 16S ribosomal RNA". It matches the Rfam family "Bacterial small subunit ribosomal RNA", at positions 118 to 354 of the family's 1533-position model. The record is from RNAcentral.
UGAGGAACCUGCCCCGAAGACCGGGAUAACCCUCCGAAAGGAGAGCUAAUACCGGAUGCCCCACCGGACCGCAUGAUCUGGUGAGGAAAUGGAUUCCGCUUCGGGAGGGCCUCGCGGCCUAUCAGCUUGUUGGUGGGUAACGGCCCACCAAGGCAACGACGGGUAGCUGGUCUGAGAGGACGAUCAGCCACACUGGGACUGAGACACGGCCCAGACUCCUACGGGAGCAGCAG